UACGUAGGGGGCGAGCGUUGUCCGAAUUCACUGGGCGUAAAGCGCGCGUAGGCGGGUUUUUAAGUUGGGGGUGAAAUCCCGAGGCUCAACCUCGGAACUGCCUCCAAAACUGGAAGCCUUGAGGUUUGGAGAGGGAAGUGGAAUUCCAGGUGUAGCGGUGAAAUGCGUAGAUAUCUGGAGGAACACCCGUGGCGAAGGCGGCUUCCUGACCAUAUCCUGACGCUGAGGUGCGAAAGCUAGGGGAGCGAACGGGAUUAGAUACCCCGGUAGUCCUAGCCGUAAACGAUGGAUACUAGGUGUUAGAGGUAUCGACCCCUCUAGUGCCGCAGCUAACGCAUUAAGUAUCCCGCCUGGGGAGUACGACCGCAAGGUUGAA
Molecule: ribosomal RNA, 376 nt
Filed under: uncultured bacterium
Lineage: Bacteria
Description: bacterial SSU rRNA
Rfam family: Bacterial small subunit ribosomal RNA
Source: RNAcentral